Molecule: long non-coding RNA, 388 nt
Filed under: Spirodela polyrhiza (greater duckweed)
Lineage: Eukaryota; Viridiplantae; Streptophyta; Magnoliopsida; Alismatales; Araceae
Description: long non-coding RNA (SPOL_LNC001434)
Source: RNAcentral
UGCGUUUCUCGCCGCUCGAAGCGUCGCCCUUCCCGAAGCCCCUUGUCGGCGGCGGCCAUGGUUGGACGAAGAUCAGGAGCCCCCGCCGUGGCCUAUCAUGUGCCCCAGGUUUCUCUUCUUCGUCUUCUUUCAGGAACGGGAGCUCGCCGGAGACCGAGUGCCCCGUGCCGCUGGAGCAGCAGCCUGUGAACGAGUACCAGGCGUUGUCCGCUUCCCUCCCUUUCUCCUGGGCGGCGGGUGAUAUCGGCCUCUACUGCUCCCGUCUUGCCUGCACUGGGGCAGCGUUUGCCCUCCUGGUGGGGCUACCCGUGUCUGCCUUUGGAAGGGGAUUCAUCGGAGAUCCUGAAACGUAUGCCCUCCGAUGCACCCUUGGGGCUGUGUCCACAGG